UUAUAUAGAUAGAGGGUGGUGGAGGUUUAUGGUGAAGAGAAGUAAAUGGUAGAGAAAUGGAGGGAGUGAUGGAGAAGUGGAGGAAAUGGAGGGAAAGUGGAAGGAGUAAUGGAGAAGUGGAGGGAAUGGUGAGAAAGUGGAGGGAAUGGUGGAGAAAGUGGUGGGAAUGGUGAGAAAGUGGAGGGAAUGGUGGAGAAAGUGGUAGAAAUGGAGGGUAUGGUAGGAGAGAGUGGAGGAGUGAAUUUAAGGAAGUGAUUAUUAUUAUUAUUUUUUUUUAACAAUAACCUUCAAAACUUUAAAAAUAUCUAAUAUAUCACUGGUUAACCAAAAAGAGUUUGUUCAUUUCCAAAAAUUACUUCAAAUAUCCCCAAAAUCUUAGGGUUUUCUAAUCGGGUUUAGGGUUUAGAAGGACAAUUUGGAAAUAGGAGGUAAAUUUGAAAAUUUUGAAUAGUUGUUAGGGUUAUAUAA
RNAcentral lists this long non-coding RNA (468 nucleotides) under Ananas comosus (pineapple). Its description in RNAcentral is "long non-coding RNA (ACOM_LNC017529)". Lineage: Eukaryota; Viridiplantae; Streptophyta; Magnoliopsida; Poales; Bromeliaceae. The record is from RNAcentral.